GAUGAACGCUGGCGGCGUGCCUAAUACAUGCAAGUCGAGCGAACGGACGAGAAGCUUGCUUCUCUGAUGUUAGCGGCGGACGGGUGAGUAACACGUGGAUAAACUACCUAUAAGACUGGGAUAACUUCGGGAAACCGGAGCUAAUACCGGAUAAUAUUUUGAACCGCAUGGUUCAAAAGUGAAAGACGGUCUUGCUGUCACUUAUAGAUGGAUCCGCGCUGCAUUAGCUAGUUGGUAAGGUAACGGCUUACCAAGGCAACGAUGCAUAGCCGACCUGAGAGGGUGAUCGGCCACACUGGAACUGAGACACGGUCCAGACUCCUACAGGAGGCAGCAGUAGGGAAUCUUCCGCAAUGGGCGAAAGCCUGACGGAGCAACGCCGCGUGAGUGAUGAAGGUCUUCGGAUCGUAAAACUCUGUUAUUAGGGAAGAACAUAUGUGUAAGUAACUGUGCACAUCCUGACGGUACCUAAACAGAAAGCCACGGCUAACUACGUG
RNAcentral lists this ribosomal RNA (497 nucleotides) under uncultured bacterium. Its description in RNAcentral is "partial 16S ribosomal RNA". It matches the Rfam family "Bacterial small subunit ribosomal RNA", at positions 28 to 507 of the family's 1533-position model. The record is from RNAcentral.